UUUACUUUUCAUUCAUAUAUAAUAUGAACAUAUAAUUAUUGACAAUAAUGCACCUCACACUAAAUUAUGAUUAAUAUUAUUGUUUAUUUGGAGCUGUAUAUUAUUUCCUUUACUUUUCUUUCUAGGUUUAUUUCUCACUAUAUAUCAACUACUCAUGUCUAUCCAAGUAGAAUCUUGUUAUGCCUUUUCUCACUAGUAAAUUAUAUGGUGUAUAUUAUUGUAGGAUCUACUUGUAGCAGGUACAGAUACAACAACAUAUGGAUUAGAAAGAGCAAUGACUGAAGUACUCCACAAUCCAGAGGUUAUGUCCAAAGCCAAACAAGAGUUGGAACAAAACAUUGGAAGAGGGAAUGUGAGAAUUCGUAAGGCUUGUCAAAAAGAAGAUGGCAAAAUUUUGGCGGAAGAUAUUUUGAAAUUAGGCAGCCAAAAAGAAGAUACACAGGGAGAAACAAGAUCAUAAUAUUUUGUUAUUUUCUUACUUUCAAAGUAUUAGCCAAGCUAGUUACCUUGUUAGAAAUUGGAGCCAAUCUAAGUGAAGACAUUUAGAAUUAAA
Molecule: non-coding RNA, 553 nt
Organism: Arachis ipaensis
Lineage: Eukaryota; Viridiplantae; Streptophyta; Magnoliopsida; Fabales; Fabaceae
Source: RefSeq, a predicted model, not a curated record